RNAcentral lists this ribosomal RNA (273 nucleotides) under uncultured bacterium. RNAcentral describes it as "partial small subunit ribosomal RNA". It matches the Rfam family "Bacterial small subunit ribosomal RNA", at positions 26 to 282 of the family's 1533-position model. The record is from RNAcentral.
AGAAUCAACGCUGGCGGCGUGCCUCAGACAUGCAAGUCGAACGCGAAAGUCCCCUUCGGGGGGCAAGUAGAGUGGCGCACGGGUGAGUAACACGUAGGUAAUCUACCUUCGGAUGAGGAAUAACAAUCGGAAACGAUUGCUAAUACCGCAUAAUGCAGCGGCACCUAAUGGUGACAGUUGUUAAAGCGGGGGAUCGAAAGACCUCGCGUCUGAAGAGGAGCCUGCGGCGGAUUAGCUAGUUGGUAAGGUAAUGGCUUACCAAGGCUACGAUCC